Molecule: unclassified non-coding RNA, 240 nt
Filed under: soil metagenome
Description: partial contains 5.8S ribosomal RNA, internal transcribed spacer 2, and large subunit ribosomal RNA
Source: RNAcentral
AACCAUAGAAACCUGCGGAGUACCUGCGGAGGGAUCAUCAUUGAAAAAAAAAACUUUAAUUAACUAAUUAUUUUUUUUUGUUUGAAAGUGGAAAAAAAGUUAUUUUUUCCUUUUCAAAUUUUUUUAUGUCUGAUUUUUUAAACAAGAGAGAAAGAAAAAAAAAGGAGGAAAAAGGAGUUAUAUAAUUUCAAUUUUUUUUAUAGCUAAUAGGAAAUAUACGUAUUUUUCCUGAGUGGAACC